This 21807-nucleotide long non-coding RNA is filed under the name Durio zibethinus. RNAcentral's name for it is "long non-coding RNA (DZIB_LNC000055)". The record is from RNAcentral. Lineage: Eukaryota; Viridiplantae; Streptophyta; Magnoliopsida; Malvales; Malvaceae.
CCCCUUUUGGGCUAGAAUCGUACAUGUGCAACUUUCCAUCGGAUUGGUCAUGGGCUUGGCCUUAAAAUAUCAAAACUACAAGCAGCCCACAAAUUUUCAUGAGAUUUAUUUCUGGCAAAGCAAUUUAUGAUUCAAUUUUGUAAAUUUUGUAAACGUUUGCAGACUCGGAUAAAGAGCAUGUACAGUAGCACAUCUGUCAAAAGGUUACGUUUUCUGUUUUGGACUUUAGUGAGGCAUACCUGGAAAAAAAAAGAUGAAGCCUUGAGCUUAAAUGUUGAACAAUAAUUAACUAGUAGUUGACGCGGAACCAUCUGAGCAUAAAAAAAUAACAUGAAUAAACAUAAAAGAUGUAUUUCAUUGAGAUCUAUCUAUGGUGUGAUCAAAUGUCCAGGUAGAAAUUGUUCAUGGAAUCUGCGCAGAGUUACAAUGUCGAAAAGGCAUUAUUGGAAGUUAAAUACUCUAUCGUCAAAUCAUAAUUGUUAGCAAAGAUAAUAGAUUUAUGGGAAGUUAAAUUUUGAAUUAGAGAAUUAAUUAAAUAUUUAAAAGCGGUAAAUCUUGGUUUUUCUCGUCGCAAUGAAACUAAAAAAUCAGAAAAAAAACUAUUCUGUUGUUAUACGGAGAAUACUAUACAUGUAGUAUUUAAGUUUAGAUUUAUAAAUAAAAUUGAAUACUCAAAUCUGUUCAAUUUAUAUAUCUUAUAAAUUAAUUUAUUUCAAGUGUACUCUUUGAGCAUGUGUAUAUCAAAUUAAAAUUUGUAAACAUAUCCCAAUGAAAUCCAUCUUUCUUUGAGGUAGUGAUAAAGUUGGAAAUUAUAUUUUGAGAGAUGAAAUGAAAGAGAGUGAGUGAGAAUAGAGGCCAAAGUAUUAUUGAUCUACAAUAUUAUUCAAACACUUUUUAACUAUUUUUCAUUCGUGCCAUUCAAUAAUUGAUGGUAACCAUAUAUGUUGCAUAAAUGCCCAAGAUUAAUAUAAGUUGUUAUUUAUUACUUUUGUUUAAAUUAUAUAAAUAAAAAUAUUACCAGAAAAAAUUAUUUUAAAAAAUCUUUAGGGAUCUUUGGUUGAUACUCGAAGUUAAAAAAAAAAAAUCAUGCCAUAUAUCACCGAAAGAUGACUUCAUUUAACCAUGAUUGUUAGAAAUUAACAAUAUCAUGACUUGGGAUACAUAUCACGUACACUUUUUUUUCCUACAAUUAGAAAACGGUAAAUGGUUUGAACAAUAAACCUGAAAAUUAAUGAUAUCAUGACUAAAUUUGAUAAUGUUUAUCUAAAGUUUUAAUUAGAAAACCUAUAAUGAGCAAUUAAAGUAAAGUUUUAAUUAGAUAUAACUUUAACUCCCUCUAAUGUGCAAUUAUGGAGUUGGAUUUUGCUAAACAAAUAUAUAUACUUAUCUUUAUAGAAAAUUUAGGUUUUUUUUUUUUCCCAAAUUUGAUUUUAAGAUAAAAUUUAAUUAGAGGAUAAACUUAGAAAAUUUGAUUUUGAAUGAAUCAUGGUUGUUAAAAUUUAGAUAUUUGAAGAUUUUUCGCUUAUUAGGAUUCAGGACACCCUAUAUAUAUUAUAAUUCUUUAACCACAAAAUCAAAAUCAUUUUCAGCUUCAAUUUGCAAAGAUGUGGAAUACUUGCAUUCUUGUUGCUGCUUUAACUUUUCUACUGUUAUGCACAAGCUUGGCAAUACAGGUUGAUUAUGAUUCCAAUGCCAUGAUCAUCGAUGGACAACGAAAGCUUAUCUUUUCUGGUUCAAUUCAUUACCCACGUAGCACCCCAGAGGUAUUUUUGUUUUCUGUUUACUGAAUCCCAUCAAUGCUUUGAUCUUAAUUACACCAUCGACUUCCAACUUUUAUAUUGAAGAUUUAUUUACAUGAAAUUAUUGUUUUGUUCACUCUACAGAUGUGGCCAGACCUCAUACAGAAAUCUAAAGAUGGUGGUCUUGAUGCAAUCGAUACAUAUAUCUUCUGGAACGUUCAUGAGCCUCGCCGCCGUCAAGUGAUAAUUUGUUCAUAUACUCCUGUAUUUGUAAAUAAUCAGGCACUAAUCUUCCAAUGCUAACUUGUUUUUCACCCUUAAAAACAGUAUAAUUUCGAGGGAAAUCUGGACUUCAUAAAGUUUUUCAAGCUAGUUCAACAAGCUGGACUAUACGGAAUCUUGAGAAUAGGCCCUUACGUCUGUGCUGAAUGGAAUUAUGGGUAAGUCAUUUUCUUCUUCAACUGAUAAAUUGCAACAUUCUUUUCCCUGUAGAAGAAUGAAAAAAUUUUCCCUCUUUUGGUAUUAAUAUUCUUUAUACUGUGUGCAGGGGCUUCCCUGUGUGGCUACACAAUAUUAACGGAAUUGAAUUUAGGACAGAUAACGAAAUAUUCAAGGUUAGGUCCCAAGAUUUAGUAGUGAUUUUUAUUCACUCUCUAGUCUCUAUAUCUAAAAGAAGAAGAAAAUUCAGAACAUCUGAUUUUCAACCACUUUUAUCUUUCAAAUGCAGAAAGAAAUGCAAAUUUUCACGACCAAGAUUGUUGACAUGUGCAAAGAAGCAAAACUGUUUGCCUCACAAGGAGGACCCAUCAUUUUAGCACAGGUAAAUUUGAUCUCAUUCUUAUUUGUAUCUGUAAGUGUUGCCAUUGAUAUUAAUUUUGAGCUCUUCUAACGAAGUUGGACGUUCUUUUUUUCUAUUACGAUAGAUUGAGAACGAGUAUGGAAAUAUUAUGUGGGCUUAUAAAGAUGCAGGGAAAGCAUACGUCAAAUGGUGUGUGGAGAUGGCUUUAGCUCAGAAUAUUGGAGUCCCUUGGAUUAUGUGCCAGCAGGAUGAUGCUCCACCGCCCAUUGUAUUCAUUUUUGCUCUUUUUUUCUGUUCUUUUUAAUCCUUUUUAAUUAAUUUCAAAAUGGUGAGUGUUGUUUUCUCGUACAGAUUAACACAUGCAAUGGGUAUUACUGUGAUUCGUUUACUCCAAACAAUACCAAGAGCCCCAAAAUGUUUACUGAAAACUGGAGUGGAUGGUAUUUAAUUAUCUUGAUUUCCUUUUUUUAUUUCCUUUUUUUGUUGUUUCUUUCCAUUUUCUGGUUAAACUCCAUCUAUUCUCAAUUCAUUAUGUGGAGCCUUGAACUUCAAUUUUCCAUUUUAGGUUCAAGAAAUGGGGCCAGAAAGACCCUCACAGAACUGCAGAAGAUUUAGCCUAUUCAGUUGCUCGCUUUUACCAAGCCGGUGGAGUGUUGAAUAACUAUUAUAUGGUUUGGACCUAUUCCUUUGUUGAACUUUCCCCAUUCUUUUCAGUCAAGUGAAUUGUGAUGUCUGCUUCUUCUUUACUCCUAUAUAUCGUUUUAUCAAAUACACAGUACCAUGGAGGAACAAACUUUGGACGCACAUCUGGAGGGCCAUUCAUUACAACAUCAUAUGAUUAUGAUGCUCCCCUCGAUGAAUUCGGUAAGUAUAGAACAAUUUUCCAGGUCCAAAUAAAAAGAAAAAAACCUGUCUAAUGGAAAUUCAUGGUGAUACUCCAACUUAGUUUCGUUUAGCUUUAACAAAUAAAUUGUUCAUAUUAGUUUCAUCAAGUCACCAAACAAGUCUAUCUUUUUUCAGGAAACUUAAACCAGCCAAAAUGGGGACAUCUUAAACAACUUCACGCGGCUAUUAAAUUGGGGGAGAAGCUUCUCACUAGUGGCAAAGCAAUGACAAAGGUUUACGGUAAUGGAAUUCAUGUAAGUGAUAGAACUUUCAUGAAAUGCUUGACCAUGUAUAUUCAUAGCAAAAUGAAAUUGGCUGAUUUGAAUUCAACUUCUCGCCAGUUGACCACAUAUAGGAACGAUGAAACUGGGGAGAGAUUCUGUUUCUUGAGUAAUAACCAAACAGAAGAGGCAAAUGUUGACUUGCAACAAGAUGGCAAGUUCGUUAUUCCGGCUUGGUCUGUUAGUAUUCUUGGUGGCUGCAAGAAGGAGAUUUACAACACUGCAAAGGUAAAAUCACCAGGUUAUCAUUUUCAUGUUUAUUUCUCUUCAAAUGGCCACGAAAUUUGCUGCUUAGGCUCUUUUUCUUUUUUUUUUUUUUUAAAUUUGUCCACAGGUUAACACACAGACCUCUAUAAUGGUAAAAAAACAAAUGGAUAAUGAAGACGAAGCUGCUAAAUUAUCCUGGGUGUGGACUCCCGAAUUCACGAAAGAUACCCUCCAUGGUAAAGGUAGAUUUAGAGCUAGGCAGCUUAUUGAACAAAAAAGAGCUACUUCUGAUGUUAGCGACUACUUGUGGUACACGACUAGGUAAUCUCCAAGGCACGUUGUUGUGCUUUAUGGUGAUUCAGUCUGUUAGGAAUGGAAUACAUCCCAAUUUGUUUUGUUGUUGUUAUUCAUUUAACACAGUGUUGACAUUAAUGGAACAACCUGGAACAAUGCGACGCUGUUUGCAAAUUCAUCUGGGCAAGUCCUUCAUGCAUAUGUGAAUGGGAAGCUUAUAGGUAACUUCUUACCAUCCAAGGCAAAUAAAUAUUUUCUAGUGUUCAAAUGAUAAUCAGAAUUCAUUUAAUUUGUUUAAGCUUUUUACAGGCUCUCAAUCAGGAUACAAAUUUCAGUUCCAAAACCCAGUUUCAUUAAUACCUGGCAGAAACAUUUUAACUUUCCUCAGUGUCACAGUUGGGCUACAGGUAGGCAGCCUAAUAUGGUAGAGGCAUGAUUAACAUGAAAUUUUCACUAGUCUGCAUUAAUUGUAUGAUUCAUAACUUAACAUUUGUGUAAGCUACCGAUUUUAAAGACUGAGCUAUGCUAAUUGCACUCUAUUUUUUAUUCUUACCAUAACCGGGGCAGAACUAUGGAGAAUUUUUUGAUUUGGGACCAGAAGGAAUAGCAGGAGGUCCAGUUCGAUUGACUGACAACAAGAAUGCUACUACUAUAGACUUGUCAUCAUUUACUUGGAAUUAUAAGGUGUUUCUCGAAAGUAGAAGAAUUAUAAUACCUCAAUUACACAGCAUUCUAUACAAACUAUGAUUGAAACUCUCUCUUUUUUUUUUUUACUUGGAUAAAGAUUGGGUUGAAUGGUGAAGCCAAACGACUUCAUGAUCCAAAAGCUCCUCAUGCUCGACUAUGGAGGACCUCAGCAGAACUUCCCAUUGGCAGGCCUAUGACUUGGUACAAGGUAUUUAAUGAUUCACAUUAGAACUUCCGUUUCGUGUUGAAUUAAUAAUCUGAUAAGUGAUAUGAUACCAAUUUUGGUUUUUGCCGAAAUAGAAAAGGAGAUCUAUAAUUCAAACUUCCUUUGAAUUGUUUUGUUGUUUAGACCACUUUCAAAGCUCCGUCAGGAACAGACCCUGUAGUGGUGGAUUUACAGGGCAUGGGCAAGGGGCAUGCCUGGAUAAAUGGAAACAGCAUUGGCCGCUUCUGGCCUGCAGAAAUUACUGAUAGUAAUGGCUGCGAUGGCGAAUGCGAUUAUCGUGGGAAAUACAAAGACAAUAAAUGUUUGUCAAACUGUGGCAAUCCUUCACAAAGAUGGUAUAAUGCCAUCAUUCAUGUAUCAGUGGAUUAGCAAAUAAUAAAGCCCAAAGCGUAAAACUAAAUACGUAAAAUUUGUAUCAGGUACCAUGUUCCGAGAUCAUUCCUUGCUAGUGACAGCAACACGUUGAUUUUGUUUGAGGAAAUUGGUGGAAAUCUUUCACAAGUGUCUUUCCAGACCGUAACUGUGGGUUCAAUUUGUGCAAAUGCAAAUGAAGGCAACGCAUUGGAACUAUCAUGCCAAGGAGGCCAAACCAUCUCUCGUAUUAAAUUCGCCAGCUUUGGUGAUCCUCAGGGAAAAUGUGGCUCAUUGCAAAAAGGCACUUGUGAGGCAGAUGUAAGCCUGUCUGCUGUGGAAAAGGUAAUUAAGACAGUUUUCUUGGCAUCAAGAUUCUUAUUAUAUAUAUUUCCAUAUUCAAAUAAAUAAAGUAAAUAAAUAUACUCCUGUCUUGCAGGCGUGUGUUGGGAAGGAGAGUUGUGCAAUUGAUGUCUCAGAAGCAACAUUUGGAUCAUCAAAGUGUGGCAACAUUACAAAGAAGUUAGCUGUGGAAGCCAUUUGCUAGAAUGAACUGUUCUACCAGAGAAAUAAAAGAAAAAGUUGUAUUUUAUGAAAAACUAACUGCUUCUUAAUUAUUUAAGAAAGCAGAAGCAAUCUAGAAAUCAUUUAUUUUCCUGUUCUUGUAUGAUUUGUAUUACGAGUUCAUUUUCCAUAAAAGCAAGUAGUUGGCAAAAUUGUGUCAAAAAGCUGCCAUUCCCAAAUCACUCAAAUUUAAUUUUCACUGUGUCGUCGUCUACCAGAUAAAGGAGUGGUAGCAGGAAACCAAUAAUUGACGGAAUUGUCCCAAGCCUUUAGCCUAGAGUUAAAGGCCAUUGAGGGGACAUUAAAGGCUUAGUUUUGAUUCUUUGGAACCAAGCUUUCCCCUCCCCCCUUCAUUAUACUAGGGCUUUGCCCUCCGAUAAACAAAAUAAUAAUAAUAAUAAUUAAUGGGAUUAGUAGGGAAUAUUACAGUUUAGCUGUAGAAAGAGUUGGUAUUCAGUAGAUCGUCUUCUUUAGCUCAAUUCAAGUAGUAGUUUUUGGCAACCGACUUCUGAUUAAAUGGUCUGUCAAAAGAAUUACAAAUCAGAACGUGGUAGUUAUCAUUUACCUCAAAUCAAGUUGUAUAAAUCUCCAUGUACUCUGUUGGACCAUGUUUGCUCAUUUCUCCAAGGCUAUAUUAUAUCUGGACAAAAGCACAAUUAAUAACAUCCAAUAUGACAAAAAAUGCCAAGGCUUCACUGUGUUGUGCUUAUAAAUCUUAGACCCUUUAGGGUCCCAAUCUCGACUCAAACUCAAUUAAAGAGCUGUCCAAAAUUUUGUUCACCAACACGUUAUUUCUCUUUCUUGUUUAUGGGAUGGGUCCGAUGGAUGGAUUUUGGGGUUUCCGCCCCUUGAAAAGGCCGCUCUUCACUCUUUAUUUUCGCCCGUUAAAAUUGGAUAAUUCUUUUACAUCGGCCUAAAAAACUAGGCCGACACCUUUCCUUCCAGGAUUCCAAAUUCCGAAAGACCCCCGGCCCUUUUUUUUGGUUUAAAACAAAAUACAAAAAGCUCUAUGGUUCUAAUUAUUUUGUGUAAUAUUUAUUCGUACACUAAUUAUUUUUACUACUCAAAAAUUACGUGAAGAAUAGCUGAUGCGAGGAAUAAUAAUUUUCCAAAACAAAAAGGAUAAGGGAAAGGUAAACAGAGAAAAGAGGCUUUUUUUCAGGUCUCCUGCUGAAGAGAGAAAAAAUCAAAGUCUCUCUCUCUCUCUCUCUCUCUCUCUCUCUCUCUCUCUCUCUCUCUAACUAUGAGCCUCUUCGGUCUGGGCAGGUGAGAGUGAUAACUUCAGCUCUUUUUUUUUUUUUUAAUUUCUCUUAAACGCUUUAAUUCGUUUCCUAUCAAUUACUCUUCUUUUCUUUAACUUUAUUUUUCAUAUUUGCAAUGUUGAGUUGAUAAAUUAUGUCAAAUCUGUUAUAAUUCUGUAGCCUUUUUCCGAUUCAAGAUCAGCAAUGAACUCUUCUUUUUGUCUUCAUUAACUUUAAUUAAAUUCUUAAAAUCUGUUAUCUAUCUUCCUAUUUUUCCUCCCUGCAAUCCAAUUGCUUUGUUAGGCUAUGGUUAAGCUAAAUUCUUAAAGCUUUUUGUUGUUAAAACAGUCCAAUCAUGUUGAUCAUCAAUUAUGGUUUUUGCAUAUAUGUUAAUAAAAUUGAAGUCUAUAUAUUUACGAUAGUGACUCUUAAUGCAUGUUGAACUUGUCUUGAUGUUCUGUUUGCUUAUAAUUAGAAAGGUCCAAAAGGUGAACAUAGUUUAAAUUAUUGAUUUUUUUUACCUUAAAGUAGAUGGCUUUAAGCUUUGCUUCAUGAAGAUGAAUUUAUGGAGUGAGUAGCCAACUUCAUCUGUUGACAAUUUGCUGCCACUGUUAGAAGACUAAUGGUGGCCGACUGAAGUCCAGAAAAUUGAAUUAACAAGAACAAACGUAAAAGGAAUGUACAAAUGUAGUCUAAGGAAAGCUAAUUAAUUUGCCUAAAAUCAAUUUAUUAAUCAGGUUCAAAGGAUGCUGGAGAUCCUCCAUAGUUUUCAGUAAGAUAUGAGCUCUGGCUUUCUAUCUUGCUCUCUGUCAAGCCCUAUGUAUCCAUGUAUGUGUGACCAGUUUGUUCACUAUGUCAAGAAGUUUUUUUUUUUAAAUCAUGCAUGAAUUGAGUUCCUCUAAACUAUGUUACCUUGAAUCUUUAUCCUAAUGUACCUUGCUGUACAAAUAUGAAAUGCAUUGGAUGUAGAUGAGCUUUGUGUAUGAUCCUCCUAAUAUAUGGAACAAGUUGUUAAAAUUUUAACCAAUCCAUGUUGCAUGUGGGUAUAUUUCUGAGACCUACUCCCAAGUCUGAUCAGCAUAGCUGGUAAAUAUUUGUGUAUCUUUUCAGUUGAUGCAUGUCCCUGAUAAUAAAUUGCUCUGAAAACAGAAAUCAGCGAACAUUCCGCCCGAAAAAAAGUGCACCUUCAGGAAGUAAGGUUGGUUACUUUUGUUCCCUCUUUUGUCUUUAAUAGAAAACAUAAAUAAUAUUGUUCAUCUCCUGCUUGUUAGAAUUUGAUGUGAUAGGCUCUCUUUACCUGUGCUUGAAUUGUUUUGAUUAUUAUUGUAACCUUCCCAAUUUUCCCAUUGGGAAAUAAUUUUUUUUCCUCUUUUCGAUGACUAAGAAGUUCUUGGGUGUGAGCAUGCGUUUUUAGCACACUGGAAGUAUUCUAGAAAGUGUCCAGAAGUAGAAACAAAAUAAAAGCAAGCAUAACAUAACACCUAAUAUCUAAUGCAUCCAAAAAUCCUAAAAAAAGCCCUGGAAAGUUGUCUUUGAAAAAAAUAAACUCCUGAAUCCUUGAUUGAAUGCCUUUUGCUGAUUCUUCUACUUCUUGGUUUUUCAUCCACUUAAAUGGUUGCCUUUAUUUCUGAACCUUGUUAUUUUUCUCUUUCUAAAGUAAGAAUUCACUUCACCAAACCUAUCAAGAAAAGAAGAAAAAAAGCUCACUUUAUCAUUAAUAUUUUUAUUUAAUAAAUUUUGUUGCUUUUGAAGUCAUGUCUUAAAUAAUAACUUUACGUUACGGAAUUUUACUUAAAUUUUCAGUGGCAUUGAAAUCUACAAAUUUCAAUGCUCUACUGACAUGCAUGACGAUCAUACAGCCCCACCUGUGGGACCCACCCAUGGAUGUUAGAAGGCGUUCUGUACACGUACUACAUGUGAUAAUUCUUUUACUAAAUGGAAAUCUAUGUCUAAACAUGGUUAGUACUACUGUGUGGUUGAGCUUGACAAUAAUUGAAUAGCCUUUUUGUGCUUUCUCUCCAGUUCUUGUGAGCUGGCUUCUUUACAGUGUCUUUAUAUAAAAUGUUUUCUGGACUUCAUUCUGCUAUGUUAGUGGCUUAGAAGAAUUUGCAGUUCUCAUCCCAGUAUUGUAAUCUUGACAUAAUGCAGGGUGCACAGCUUAAAAAGCACAUUGAUGCCACUCUGGGCAGUGGGAACCUAAGGGAAGCAGUAAGGCUACCUCCUGGGGAGGAUUUAAAUGAAUGGCUUGCAGUCAACAGUACCUCUCGCUCGCUCUCUUUCUUUCUUACUCACAUACACUCGGCACACACCUACGCAAACAUUCUGUAUUAAUCCUUCUAUAUAUUUGUGAAACUGUUUAUAUAACUUAUCCAUGAAUAUUCUACUUUAGUAUGGCCAUGCUGUUUACUUACUGGUAUAACUGCUACUUUAUUUAUAUUCCAUUCAUUAGCUGAUUUUUUUUAGAGUGUUUUAGUAUGUUUUCUUCCCUAUUUCCAGGUUAUUGCCAAAUUUUCUUUGAAUCUCAUUGCUAAAGUGUAAUUGUUGAAUCUUUUUCAGCUGUGGAUUUCUUCAACCAGGUGAAUUUGCUCUAUGGUACCCUCACAGAGUUUUGUACUCCUGAGAACUGUCCUACAAUGACUGCAGGCCCUAAGUAUGACAUAUCAAACCAGAUCCCUUUUCCCUUUUCAAUAAAUUAGUUAUACAAAUCCUAAAUUUUAAUAUUUCAGCAUGCCAUAUAACCUGUUAUGUUUGGAUAACCUGGUAUCAAAAGUAUUUCUCUCAAAUGAUGGAUCAUUAAGUUUAUAUGGAUAUCAGGAACCUUGACUUAAAUUUAGAUCUUUAACUCUUUGAAACAGACACAUAACUGCAUUGCUUUAUUUUUGCUACAAAAAUAGAUAUAUAGCUUGCUAAUGCUAUUGAAUUAUGAAGUCAAGCUAUUUAAUAUAAUCUUGUCUGAUAAGUGGGACGAGAGUGAGACUAUGCAUCAUUUUUUCAUAGAUUUGAUUAGUAUGUGGUGAGAUUUUUAUUUUUAUUAUUAUUAAUUCACCUUAGCCUUUUGUAAUAAUUUAAAUUUGCCUUACUUUUUCAAAGGUCUGUAGAAGACUUCGAAUCUGUUGUAGCCAGAAUUGAUCUAAGAGUCAAAGUCCUUGUAGUCAUUUGAUUCUGUCAAAUAAUUAGAACUUGUGCAGAAUGUAACUAUGAAAAUUGGAUCAUCUUCCUUCCCAAAUUACUGUAAAUUUUUUGUUUUCAAGAUUGGUUCUUGUACCUUUUGCUGCCUUAUCAAUCAAUUUAAUCAUUCCAUACUUAUGUGUAUGCACCCUAAUUUAGUCUACUCAUUUUUAAAUAUCUUUCAAAGUAUAUAUCUUGGGUUUUCUGGAGUUGAUGAUUUGCUGUCUUACAAAACUUUACAGGUAUGAAUAUAGAUGGGCAGAUGGUGUGCAAAUCAAAAAACCUAUUGAGGUUUCUGCUCCAAAAUACGUUGAAUAUCUAAUGGAAUGGAUUGAAGCACAGCUUGAUGAUGAAUCCAUAUUUCCUCAAAAGCUUGGUAAAAUCUUCAUAAGUCAUGUGCUUAAUCAUCUUAAUUCUUUGUGAUGAAGUCUGACAUAUUGUCAUCUAGAGAAAGAUAGUUAUUUAUCUACGUAUGAUAGCAUCAAUUGAUGAUUAACUUUUUCUAAUAUUUAUACUUGUCCAAAAAAGAAACGAAAUUAUUAUGUCUUGUAUCUAUGCUAAAUACUUUCCUAUAUUUAAUUGCAUAUUUCAAAUUUGCUAGGUGCACCAUUUCCUUCCAACUUCAAGGAAGUGGUGAAGACAAUAUUCAAAAGAUUGUUCCGUGUAUACGCCCACAUCUAUCACUCUCACUUUCAGAAAAUUGUGAGCCUUAAGGAGGAAGCCCAUUUGAACACAUGCUUCAAGCAUUUCAUACUGUUUACUUGUGUAUGUCUUCUUCUGCUUGAUAAUUAUUUUUUUUUUAUUCGCUGUCCUCUUGUUCAGGGGAAACCUCUGCCACUAUUUUUCUAUUUAUACAAAUGUCAAUAAAACCCAGUAGUUUAUCUACUAGUACUACUAAAUAACAGUAGUUGUGUUGCAUAGUUCAAAUUUGCUGCAAUAUGGUUAGUUUUACUCAUUCAUUAAACCUUUCUCCUUUUUUUCACGAGUAGUAUUCAAAGUUUCCUUUAUCUAGGGAUGCUCUUAUCUAUAGAAUUUGCUUGUUUUGCUUUGUGCAUAAUCUGAUAAACCAAAUUCAAAGGUGAAAGGGGAAAAGAGGGAAGAGAAAGAAGAGGAUAGGGAGGGUGGAAGCAAUUCCCUUAAACUACGGGAGAAUAGCUUAAAGAUGUUUGAUGCAACUUCUAGAACAACUAGGAGACGGUUUUUUUAAACCACAAAGGGUAUAAGUGUAAGCUUGCCAUUAUUUUUUUUUUCUAGCAGACAUGGUUUCUUGUCACAUGUAUCAUGGUUUUCACAAAAGAACCUGUUAUAGUCACAAAGCCCAGAAUAUGGUUUUAGUUGUGAAAUGAGAGAGGCUAAUUUUUUUUUUUUUUUUUCAUUUUGUUCUUUCUUAAGUACCAAGAGGGGGUAGUACGGCUCAAAUUUAGGAUAUUUACCCCAGACCUCACCUACUAACUACCGGAGUUAAGUGAAGGUGGUAAGGGUUGAAAUGUUUCGUUAAAUCUCUGAAACAUGCUUUCUACAAUGCAAGAAUGCUUAGUUAACUGGUAAGUUGUGAGGUUAAUUGAGUUUGUUGUUGUGUUGCAUGUGCAGGAAUUUGGGCUGAUUGACAAGAAAGAGCUGGCUCCACUUCAAGAGCUCAUAGAAUCCAUCAUAGUCCCCUACUGAGUAUAUAAUAUAGGGUUGGAGGUCCUGAGAAAGAUUUUUAUUUUAGGGAUGCAAAAGUAAGACUGUUUUAGUAUUUGACAUAUAAAGUUCUCUAUUUCUCUAUGUUCUCAAACAUUGCAGGGAUUAACAUUGUUUUUCUUUCUUUUUGGAUGCAUAGAUCAAGCAAUUGCAAAAAGCGAGUAGCUUUUCCUGAAAGUAAUGAAAGCCUUAAUUUCCAUCUAGUCGUUGCCAUUUUUGUUAUUUGUGCUUAUAGUUUGAUGAAUGGGUUUUUUCUUUUUUCUAAAAGAUUAUACUAUCCAAUUGUUUUUGCGUGGUCUUUGGUACUAUUACUUUUUAUAAAUUAAAAAUGAUAUUAAUGCUAGUAUUACAGAUAAGAAAAGUAGUAUUCUAUUUCAAAGUUGUUUUCAUAAUAUAUUUUUGGUUUAGAAAAUUAGAGAAACACUGAAAAUUGCUGCUGGGUUUUUAUCUUUGUGUUGCCAUUAUUGAAUGAAUCUCUUUCAAAUUAAUCAUAGAAGAAGAGGAAGAACCUUUCUACUAAUUCCAAGGAAGAUAAUAAUGGUAGUAAUCUCUAACAGAAAAGCAUGACCAUGAGCUCUCUAUACGACUUACUAUAAGCACUUUUUUAGACAAUCCAUAAUUGGGAAAGGGGGGACAGGAUUUGAUUUGAGAACAAUAGUGGCGCCAAUCACCAUUGGCAAAGGGAAUUACGAUGACCAGAUCACUAGGCCGAAUGCUUGUGGUCGAAGAGGAUGGUAGCUGGGCUAACCAUCUCGGACAAAAGUCGAGAAUGAGAUAGCAAGGAAAGUUAACCAUAGCCAGAAUGAAAACAAGAAUAUUGAAUUCAGAUGUAGUUGAUUUUUGUCUUUGUAGAUCACAUCAUUAUUCCUGUUGAUUCUGAUGAACUGAUUUGAUAUGAAUGCCUGUGGUCGCUAAGUUACAUGUAAAACCGAGUACUUCUCGAACAAUGUAAAGUCAAGUCCUUCCAAUCAAUCAUGUUUACCCCCCCCCCCCCCCCCGGAAUAAAUAUGGACCGUAAACCUGUGAAAUAGCAGAGAAGUACUCCUGUCAUUAUAAACAGCAGAAGCAUAUGAAGAUUUUGCAAUGGCAUUUUUAAAAUGCAUUAACUUUAGAGAAAGACAAGAUUGUCCAUUUUCCUUUCUACUUAGAAGUGGCUCUUUUUUAUUUCAACCAAUACCAGCUAAAGGUAGUACCUUCAACGGAAAUGCAUUGAAAGAGAAUGAACAAUAUGAUCAAAAUUAAUUUAAAUUCAGAGUUUAGACUGCAUGCCCUGAUUCAAUCUCAUUCUUAUCUAUCCUCAUCUGAAUUCAUGGUUCCAAGAUCAGAAUUCCCGUAUCUGGAAGCAGCAAAACCAUAUGAUCCCAAAACAGCAACAAGGACACCCAGUACCAGAGAGAAGAGCUGGAAGUUAGCAAGCAACUCGCCUCGAACCUCACUAUCUGCUGGAUAGCAAUAGAUUGCAUUUCCCUUGAGCCGACAACCAUCUGGCAUCACGGGGCCAUAGAGGGUGAAAGCAUUCUGAUAGAACCAGAGGCCUUGGAGAGUUAUAGCAAUUCCACUACACAAAUCAACUGGGAAGCUGUGUGGCAAGAGAGCUCCACCAACAGUGGUCAAAAUGCAAAGUCCUAUUAGAAGGACAAGCACAAGAUGGUAGUACCCCCGAGGCCAUUGUGAGUGGUUGAGUGAAAGUAGAAUAGCAGAUACUCUGCACAGAAUGCUGUGGCCGCAAUAAGAGAAAGGGCUCCUUGUGGUGUGGAAAGAAAACUGAACAAGAAUAGAUUCCAACGAAGAUGGUUGUAAAGUUAGCUAUAUUUGACAAUAAAUGGCAGAAUAUCAAUAUUUGCAUGAUCAAUUCCAAAUGGUUAAGUGGAAGUUAGAAAUGACAAAGUAUUUAUUUAUGAGAUAGAAUAAACAUUUUGUAAUCAAAUAACCAUGAUUUCAGACAUAAAGAAAUUAUAAUACUGACUUUUCAUGAUAAGAAUGAAAUUUACUUUUGAUGCACUAGACAUGCAUUCAUUCCCCAAAAUUAAAAAGGAAAAAGGAAGACACAAAAUCAACUGUCUAUGCAAAAUCUGCUGCUUAUAGAACCUUUAUAACUUCCACCGUCCAUUCCCCUAUGGCUUUAUGCCUCUUAUGGAAUCAUUACCAUCUGAUUACAUUCUUUCACAGUCAGAAAGCAGCAACUCCACGUGGUUAGAACUCUGCAAUUAUGACUUGAUAAACAGUCUUGCCUUUCAAAACAUUACUGAUUUAUCAAGUAAACCAGGGCAGAGACUGCCUAGUUCACAUCAAAUGUUCCGUCAAAACUCAAAAGCAUGCUAUAGAAAACUAGGGUUUUCUUUCUUUUUUAAAUUCUAUUCACUAUAUAGGAAAAGCAGAAACGUUCUCAUAAAUGCAUUUUGCCAUUACUGUGGUGCUAAUCAGAAGCCAAACUCAAGAAGAAAAUCAAAAUGAUGUGAACUAUACUCAUGUAAACCAGAAAAUUCAUCUUUGCUCAGCCCACAGCCCCUGAAAAAUAAGACAGAUGUCAUGCAUAGAAGCAUUUGAAUGUUAAAAUCAAUAAUGCUUUAAUCUAAAACUAGCGAAAAUUAAUCCUAAUAUACUACAAAAGCGAAAAUUAAAUACUAUAAAUGAGAUUUUUAUCUUCACAUAUCAUUUUUUUUUAUUAAUCCUAAUAUACUAAAGCUGAGCUGGCUUUAAAUUAAAAACACAUGAUAACUUUUAUAUUUUUGUAUAAAUGUGAAUGUAGCAUGAAAAUACGUGAAUUUUAUAUUAAUUUUAAUAUUAAAAUAAUAUUGACGUUUUCAUAUUUAUAUAUUAUGGAGAAAAUAAUUAUUUGCUAUUUAAAAAAUAAUGAAAAUAUCCAUCAUUUCAAGUUAAUAUUUACAAUGCAGGUUCAAAUAAAUUUAUUAUUAGGAUUUAUUUUUUUGCCAAUGGUUAUUAUUUAUUCAAAACAUUUUUUUUGAAUUAAUUUUUAUUUAUUUUCUUACUCAAUUUAAAAUCAUUAAAUUUUAAUUAUAAAUGAAUUUUAUAUCUUAGAAUUAAAUAAUGAAUAUUUUUAUUACUUUUUAAAUAAUAAAAAUAAUCCUUGCCCAGUUUAUUAUCCUAUAUUCAACUACCAUUUAUAUACCUUUAUUACUCCGAUUUCAGUCAUGGUUGACUAUUUAUAGAGUCCUGUCUUUAUUUGUAUCAGUAUUAAAGUAAUUUAUGUAUACAAUAAUACAAUCUUUAUUUAUCCUUUUUUACACAAUCAUCACUGUAUUCCUCUAAGAUAUAUUUACUGUUUAAUCUAUAAUUUGUUGAAAGUUGUAAAUUAUCAAAUUCCAAAAAGUUGUUAAUAUUUUUUGGGAAAAAGGAAAUAACAGUAAAAUUGAAAAAAAAAAUCGAAAGAAGAAGAAAAUCUUUAUAGAAAAUGACAUGUUUAGACGUUCUAGGGUAACGUGCCCGUGAUUAAUCAUUGUGUACAAACAAUUUUAUAUGCUGACACUGAAAGAUCCCAAGACGCAGAAGGAUAUUUACGUAAUCUCAUGCUUAGCAGCUAGGACUUCCUUGAAAUUAACCUAUUUACCAGGGGCCACAACAUUUCCUUUUUGUCAAACCAACAAUCAUAUUCUCAGAUCCAGCCCGGAAAGUAAACGUUGAAGUCAGCCCCCCUAUUUCAAAUUUGGCAAAGCGUCAGCGGUUCUAAAGAUACUUCAUUCCCCACUCACCCAAUCAUAAUCAUCCACGUGACAUUGUCCUCGUCUGCCCUCCGCUUUUUUCGCACUGACGUGGGAUCUCUCAAAUCCCGUCCGUUGGAAUCUUUCCUCAAUUGCCCUGCAGCCUUACCACUCCUCCCCUCCUACUUGCGUCGUCGUAUUUCCCAAGGCGCAUCUCCAAUAACCGCCACCGUCGCCCGCUUAGAUAUCUAUCUCCCUAGAUUUCCCAUUUUCCAAAAUUAUUGACGAAAUAAAAUAAUAUUCUUUUUAUUUUUUUCUGCCACUUUUACUUAUAUUAUAUAAAUAAUAAUUAAAAAUCCGUCUCUCUCUAUAAAAUUCCGUUUUUCCACUGUAAACUUCACUUGAUCCUGCUUUUUCUUGUCUCUUUCUCUUUUGUUUUUCUUUUCUUAAGUUUACUACUUUUUAUUGCCGCUUUUUUUUUCUUAUCUCUUCAUUGUAAUAUACAAAAUAAAAUUUCGCUUUUGUGAUUCUUGUUCACCGCAAUGUGGAAAUCAAAUUCUUGGCACACUUCAAAAAUAAAAAAUGAAAAUUAGGAAUCAUUGAUUCGCCGGUUUGUAGACUUCGACGAUAAAGUGAGAGACGAUUAAAGAUCAAAUGACUUAGGCGGCAGUGAUCUCGCGGAAGCAAAGAUUGCCAUCUAAGCUUCCGAUUUUGCAUAGUAAGUUGGAAAUUCGGUUUUUGUUGGUGGAUUUUGAGAGGGCAGAAAUGUCGAAGGUGGUGUACGAAGGAUGGAUGGUGAGAUAUGGAAGAAGGAAGAUCGGGCGAUCCUUCAUUCACAUGCGAUAUUUCGUGCUCGAAAAUCGGCUUCUGGCUUACUACAAGAGAAAGCCACAAGAUAAUCAGGUUUUUACUUACUUUUGUUUUAGUGUUCGUAAUUUUCUGUAGGCAUUGUUUAGGUUCUUAAAUUAAACAUGUUUUUGAAGUAUUUUAUAGUUUUUUUAAAGUUUAAUUUUCCUUUAUUUUUUAGGUCGGAGAAGAGAGGAAAGUUGUUUUUAGAAUGUUAAAUUAAGUGCAAUUCGGUUUGAUUUAAUUUAAUUUUUAGUAAUGGAACUUGUACGGUUGAUGCUGCUAUGCUUUUAGUAAAAGCAGAAGCAUCUUGUUGACAAAGGUGUCUGAUAUCUAUGGAUUCUUACUGUUUAGGAAAAAGAGAGCGGCAUAAUUUUUAUUGUCAGUUUUUUGACUAUUGGCUUUUGUGCUAUGUGUUCAUUUUAUAACUAAAUGCACGAACUGCUGUUAACAACUAGAAGUUUUUUUUUUUUUUUGCUUUUGUAUGUGUGUGUUUUCUUAAUUUAGGUCCCGAUCAAGACCCUUUUGAUAGACGGAAACUGUAGGGUGGAGGAUCGAGGCUUGAAGACUCAUCAUGGACAUGUGAGUUGUCGUCUGCUCGUGUGUAUCUGUGUGUUUGCCUUUAUACCAUUUUAGCCUGUUGAUGCUAUAAUGGUAAUGACAAAGCAAAACGUUGUUGUUGGUCGCUGAGAGAUGAGACCGUCCAACAUCAUAUAUACUUAGAAUGAUAUACAUCUAUGUACGCAUGUGUGUAUACAUAUGCAUUCUUGAUCCUCAAUCAUCAAUCGUAUAUACUUCAUAUAUUCUGUCUCCCUUCCCCUUUCACUCUCUUUCUCUCAUAGAGAGACUCGUGGACACUCUUGCUUAUUAUCUAACUUUGUGCAUAACUGUUUAUGAAAUUCCGAUACUGUUGGAAUGUUCCAAUAGCGGUUAUACUCUAAUUGCGCUAUAACUUUAUCCUUAAGAUAGAACACUUAUUUGUACUUCAUUUAACUUACUCAUGGUUUAUUUUUGCAGAUGGUUUAUGUUUUGUCUGUUUACAGCAAGAAAGAGAAGUACCACAGAAUCACGGUUUGUUGUUUUUAUUUUAUGGAAAUAGCUUGUAUUCUUUGAUGCUUAAUAACCUGAGCUUGGUUGGUUAGUUGUUUGAAUAGAGAAACUGAAACAUGUUUUUGGUUUUGCACUUGGUUUUAUUAUGUAGACACAUCCUUGGAUUCCACUUUGAUUGCUCUUAAUGGUUAUGGUGUAUUCCUAAUUGAGUUAAUCUCUUUAUUAUGGGGUUAUAACUUGAAUUUAUCAUAACAUGGGACUGAAAAAUGUUCAUUGUGGAACUAGAGUGAUAUCUGUUUUCAGGGUGAUACUAUCCACUGUGUUUGUCUGCGGCUGUGCGAGCAUAAUUGACACAUGUUUUGGAUUUACUAUUUGGCCUCUUUGAUUAAUGUGUUUCUUCUCACAAUUCGUUGUGUCCUGUACAUCCAGUUUCAAAAUCUUAUGCUUUUGAAUAUUGGGAACCUAAAAUAAAUCCAUUUCUGCAUUCUUCUUUCUAGAUGGCAGCCUUCAACAUCCAGGAGGCCUUAAUCUGGAAGGAAAAAAUUGAGUCUGUAAUUGAUCAGGUGCAUCUCUGAGCCCGUAACUUAAUUCCUGCUUUUUAGAUUUGUGUUUUGAAGUUGAUUCUCCCUUAUCAACUUCUGUUGCAAUGGGUUUAGGGUGAGAAUUUUCUUAGUGAACUGAAUACAUUGUGUUUAUAUAUUAUGUUAUACAUAUUGUGUUAAUUGUCUAGUUACAUUAUUAUCAUAUGCAGCAUCAAGAGUCACAAAUUGCAAAUGGCAACAAAUAUGUUUCUUUUGAAUAUAAAUCUGGGACGGAUAGCAGGCGAACUGCUUCCUCAUUGGACCAUGAAAGUCAGUAAGUGCCUAUUUGUCAUUAUUUUUCUAUUUGCUGUUGGCUAUGUGUGUUGAUAAAAGUGAAUGUGUUAUGUUAGUCAUGAGUCAGGUGGAUGGUGGAUGUUGGGCUGUGGGCUUAAGUCAAGCUACCUGGGUGCCUUGAAUUCUUUUGGAUCAAAUCCUCAUUCUAGAGAGUUAUUGUCAUAAAUGAGCGGGGAAAGGUUAGAAUAAUCAAAUGUGAUAAAAGGAGGUCUUAUGUUUUCUGGGAUUUCAUGCACAUCUUACAUCUUUCCAAGUGUUGCCACUUUUAAAAUAUAGCAUACAUGAAUUAUAUAAAUAUUUCAUGGUUGGAAAAGGAAUUCAUUUUCAAUGUGAGCCCAAGCGGCCAAGCAUUGUUUCUAAUCUGUUGGUUAUAGAUGAAUAUCAAGUGAUUUUCAAUAUCCUUGCAUUAUUGCUGGUUCAAUGCAUGGUUGCUCUUCUCCUUGUUUAGUGACUAACUGAACAUAGCACAGUUCAUUUGCUCCAGCUCCUAUUCAAGACUGAUUGUCAAAUUAAAAAGAAUUAAAAUGCCCUGAUUCUUAUCAGUUGUUGGUAUUUUCCCCAAUUUUUUUGGCUAUGGUAAGACAAGUGAUCCUUGGUUGAACUUUAAUUUCUUAAUUAUUUCUUAAGGUUCAGUGCCCUGGAGGACGAAGAUGAUGCUCAUCCAAAUUUGCUAAGGAGAAGGACAAUGGGAAAUGGUUCUCAUUUGAUUUCCAUUUUAAUUUACUUUACAUUAUUUUGUACAAUUAUCGGAAUCUCAACAUUUUUAUAAUAAUGUCAGGUCUUCCAGAUUCAGUAUUUGACUGGACACGGGAAUUUUACUCAGAAUUAUCAAAUCAAAAUGCCAACAACCAAGCAUUUUCCGGAAAACAUUGGCGCCUCCUUCAAUGUCAAAAUGGUUAGUUUUUCAUUUAUUAUUCCAUUUUAUUGGCUUUAAAGUUCAAUCCAUGUAUGAAAAUCUCAAAAAAUAGUUUGGAGUGGAAGGUUGUUUUAAUUACCAUAAUACUGCAGGCAUUGAUGGAUCAUUCUGAAUCCAAACCUUUCUUUGAUAUGACAGGACUUCGCAUUUUUGAAGAGCUUCUUGAAGUUGAUUACCUUGUCUGAAACUUUUUCUUUGCUUGCUUUAGGCCUUUUAUUUAUUUAUCUUUUUCAGUGCAUUAAAAUGUUCUGGGUGUUAAACGUUGCUUAUUUUUUCUUUAUCUAGCCAAAGAGCUGUUGUAGGGCAAUGAAGGCUGUGGGUGUCGUGGAAGCUACUUGUGAGGAAAUAUUUGGUCUUGUAAUGAGCAUGGAUGGAACUCGGUUUGAGUAGGUGUUUUUGCAAUUAAAAAAAAUAUAUUUUAAGGUUUUUAAAUGCAUGCCUUUAUGCGUCCAUACUAUUUGGGAGAAUAUGCUGAAAAUUUAUUUGCUUUAAAUAAUCUAGGAACUUUCCAUAUUUCAUUUUCAUCCUUUUUACCUUCUGCAGGUGGGAUUGUAGUUUUCAGUAUGGUAGUUUAGUUGAAGAGGUAGACGGGCAUACAGCUAUACUUUAUCACAGGCUUCAGUUGGAUUGGUUCCCUACGUAAUAAUUUCUCUCCAAUUUAAAUCAUUUUCUUUUUAUGCUUUCAUUGUAUUGAAUAUUUAUCUUUGAAGCAUUACCAGUAUAGUUUUUGGUGUUUUGGGAACCAAAAUUGCUAGGAAAGUACAAAUCAGAGCUUCUAAACCCCCUUUUAGCCCAUUUCUUUGAUGCAAGACAAACUUUAAUUUCUAACAAUAUAAUGCCAAAACUGGAUAGGUUAAUCCUAGUAUGCUGGAUGAAUGCUGGUAAGCACCAAAAGAAGGAAUGAUAAAAGAUCAAACUUCACUGUAUCAAUAAAAUGCAAGGAAAAGAAAAAGAAAACUGAGCAAGUGGAAACAGAAAAGAAAAGAACUAGAGAGGGAGAGAGAUGAGUAUGUGCUGGUGUCUUUACGAGAAUCAAAGAAUUGAAUCUUUUGCAUUCUGGUUGUUGCCCUCUAACUUUGCUAUUUUACAGAAGUACUGGCUAGUAAUCUGAAAUGGGCUGUCAACAAGACUGGUGAAGGGUUGACGGUUUUUUCCUCUAAAAUUUCUUCACCAUAAACCUUUGUAUGAUACAUUCACUAUUUUUUUUUCUGAUGACAAAGAAGGAACUUUUGAAUUUUUACUUUACUGUUGUAGGAGUGAGCAUACUGUUAUUAUUAUCCAAGGUUUAUUUAUACUUUGAUCACUUCAUUGAGGAUUAUAUAUGUGAUCUUAUACUUGUAGAAUGUUUCUAAAAUUAUGCACCGUUUUCAAAAGCAAUCUUGUUUCUUCUUCCUUCAUGAAGUAUGGGCAAUUUUUCAAAUGCAUGGCUCAUGUUUUUGCAGGUUUAUAUGGCCCCGUGACCUUUGUUACGUGCGAUAUUGGCGUCGAAAUGAUGAUGGAAGCUAUGGUAAGUUCUUUGCAGAUUUUUUUGUUUAUUGAACUAUAUGCUUAUUUUUCUAUCUUCAGAAAUAUCUCCUUUUUUCUUCUUUUGUUUAUUGUGCAGUUGUAUUGUUCCGUUCUAGGGAGCAUGAGAAUUGUGGCCCACAACCAGGAUACGUGCGGGCUCAUGUUGAGAGUAAGCUCUAUGUGAAUCCCUUGGUUGUGCUGAGACUUGAAAGAUGAAUACUCAGUUUGUAUUAUAAUGCAUAUUCUAUACUGUAAUUUGCUCAGGUGGAGGGUUCAACAUUUCCCCUCUGAAAUCUCGAAAUGGGAAGCCGAGGACCCAGGUGCAGCAUCUCAUGCAGAUUGAUUUAAAAGGAUGGGGAGUGGGUUAUAUUUCAUCGUUUCAGCAACACUGUCUUCUUCAUAUGUUAAAUAGUGUUGCUGGUGAGUUCUUUUUCUCUAUUUCGCAUGUUCAAAUUUUGCAGUAUUUUGGCAAUUUGAUAUCACAGUGAAAGAUAGGAUGUUUUUAAUGUUUCCAUGGUUUACCGUAGUGUCAUAAGGGAUUUACUUGUCUAUGUACCCUUCCAUUCGAUCUCUUAGGUCCUGCCUUACCUUACCUCGACGGUUAUACCACGAUGCCCUUAACUUAAAGCCUAAGCCUAUAUGCGAUGUAUAGACUCCUGCAACCAUGACAUAUUUGUUUACUUGAACAUAAUUUCAUUUCUUUCUAAAAGAACUAAAAGAAAUGAUAAUGGCUUCUUGUUCUCACUAUUUCAAUCAACAUAUAGAAAAAAAAGUUCUUUUUUUUCUGAUACCAGUGUGGUCUGCAUCUCGACAUCCGACUAUUGUCCAAG